AUUGAACGCUGGCGGCAUGCCUUACACAUGCAAGUCGAACGGCAGCACGGGUGCUUGCACCUGGUGGCGAGUGGCGAACGGGUGAGUAAUACAUCGGAACGUACCUUAUCGUGGGGGAUAACGCAGCGAAAGUUGCGCUAAUACCGCAUACGCCCUGAGGGGGAAAGCGGGGGACCGUAAGGCCUCGCGCGAUUAGAGCGGCCGAUGUCUGAUUAGCUUGUUGGUGAGGUAAAAGCUCACCAAGGCGAUGAUCAGUAGCUGGUCUGAGAGGACGAUCAGCCACACUGGGACUAAGACACGGCCCAGGCUCCUACGGGAGGCAGCAGUGGGGAAUUUUGGACAAUGGGGGCAACCCUGAUCCAGCAAUGCCGCGUGAGUGAAGAAGGCCUUCGGGUUGUAAAGCUCUUUUGUCAGGGAAGAAACAGCAGCUCUAACACAGUCUGCGAAUGACGGUACCUGAAGAAUAAGCACCGGCUAACUACGUGCCAGCCGCCGCAGUAA
RNAcentral lists this ribosomal RNA (501 nucleotides) under uncultured bacterium. Its description in RNAcentral is "partial 16S ribosomal RNA". It matches the Rfam family "Bacterial small subunit ribosomal RNA", at positions 30 to 523 of the family's 1533-position model. The record is from RNAcentral.